Long non-coding RNA from Carassius gibelio (silver crucian carp), 544 nucleotides. RefSeq lists it as uncharacterized. The record is from RefSeq and is a predicted model, not a curated record. The transcript has 3 exons. Lineage: Eukaryota; Metazoa; Chordata; Actinopteri; Cypriniformes; Cyprinidae.
ACUUCAAGGUUGUAAGUGUUUGCACUUGGAACACAGUGUCAUAUGCAUUGUUGUAACUCCAGCUGUGUGUGAUCUUUGUAGAGGUGGAGUGGGCUAAGCACAGCACAACAAACCAAACACCAAAGCAACCCUGUGUUUUCCAAAUUAUUUUGUAUAAUUAUGCACACAGUUUUAUUUUUCUUGGUGCAGAUAUUGCUGUGUAGCAUAAUACAGCAUUACUUUUAUUUUCAGAUCGAUUGGCUGAGCCUCAUGGGAGGCAACACACCUGGAGAGUCGGUCAGAAGACUGCUUAGGAAAUUCGGGACGAAUGCUCUAUGGGCCCAAUAUAGUCUUAAAGGCCGCAAGGGAAAGAAGAAUUUUCAGGAACUGGAAAUAUAUGCCUGUCGUCGAACACACACCAAGGUGCUGGAAAAAGUAAUUGAGGACUUCAUAUCAGAAACACUGAGAUAAGAUGCUACAAUCUAAGGUGUCACUUCAGGUCGAAGCAGAGACUUCGGGAAAAGAAGACACACAGAACACACUUAAUUAGUUGUUUUACACACAG